AUCGGCAACUAGCUCUUUGCAACUCUCACAUGUUCACCCACUGAAGCUAAGCAGGGCUGUGCCUGGUCAGUACCUGAAUGGGAGACCACAUGGGAAAGCUAGGUUGCUGCCGGAA
Ribosomal RNA from Danio rerio (zebrafish), 115 nucleotides. Lineage: Eukaryota; Metazoa; Chordata; Actinopteri; Cypriniformes; Danionidae. The record is from Ensembl.